This 36-nucleotide ribosomal RNA is filed under the name Jesogammarus debilis. RNAcentral describes it as "partial 12S ribosomal RNA". Lineage: Eukaryota; Metazoa; Arthropoda; Malacostraca; Amphipoda; Anisogammaridae. The record is from RNAcentral.
CCUUUGGGUGUUUUUAAAAAUAAAGCUUUAUAGCGG